RNAcentral lists this ribosomal RNA (445 nucleotides) under uncultured bacterium. RNAcentral describes it as "partial 16S ribosomal RNA". It matches the Rfam family "Bacterial small subunit ribosomal RNA", at positions 354 to 796 of the family's 1533-position model. The record is from RNAcentral.
GUGAGGAAUAUUGGUCAAUGGACGGAAGUCUGAACCAGCCAUGCCGCGUGCAGGAAUAAGGUCCUAUGGAUUGUAAACUGCUUUUAUUCGGGAAUAAACCUCUUUACGUGUAGGGAGCUGAAGGUACCGAAGGAAUAAGCACCGGCUAACUCCGUGCCAGCAGCCGCGGUAAUACGGAGGGUGCAAGCGUUAUCCGGAAUCAUUGGGUUUAAAGGGUCCGCAGGCGGGCUAUCAAGUCAGAGGUGAAAUCCCUCAGCUUAACUGUGGAACUGCCUUUGAAACUGAUGGUCUUGAAUUAAGUGGGCGUUGGCGGAAUAUGACAUGUAGCGGUGAAAUGCAUAGAUAUGUCAUGGAACACCGAAAGCGAAGGCAGCUAACGAUACUUAUAUUGACGCUCAUGGACGAAAGCGUGGGUAGCGAACAGGAUUAGAUACCCCGGUAGUCC